This 506-nucleotide ribosomal RNA is filed under the name uncultured bacterium. Its description in RNAcentral is "partial 16S ribosomal RNA". It matches the Rfam family "Bacterial small subunit ribosomal RNA", at positions 29 to 523 of the family's 1533-position model. The record is from RNAcentral.
AGUGAACGCUGGCGGUAGGCCUAACACAUGCAAGUCGAACGGCAGCACAGAGGAGCUUGCUCCUAGGGUGGCGAGUGGCGGACGGGUGAGGAAUACAUCGGAAUCUACUCUGUCGUGGGGGAUAACGUAGGGAAACUUACGCUAAUACCGCAUACGACCUACGGGUGAAAGCAGGGGAUCUUCGGACCUUGCGCGAUUGAAUGAGCCGAUGUCGGAUUAGCUGGUUGGCGGGGUAAAGGCCCACCAAGGCAACGAUCCGUAGCUGGUCUGAGAGGAUGAUCAGCCACACUGGAACUGAGACACGGUCCAGACUCCUACGGGAGGCAGCAGUGGGGAAUAUUGGACAAUGGGCGCAAGCCUGAUCCAGCCAUACCGCGUGGGUGAAGAAGGCCUUCGGGUUGUAAAGCCCUUUUGUUGGGAAAGAAAUCCAUCUGGUUAAUACCCGGGUGGGAUGACGGUACCCAAAGAAUAAGCACCGGCUAACUUCGUGCCAGCCGCCGCGGUAA